Long non-coding RNA from Bradysia coprophila, 196 nucleotides. Lineage: Eukaryota; Metazoa; Arthropoda; Insecta; Diptera; Sciaridae. The record is from RefSeq and is a predicted model, not a curated record.
UUUGAAGUGAACAGUGUGAGCCGACUGCUCGUGCUCGACUGCUUGCGUCAUCAACUAAAGAGUCCUCAAAGUGGCUGCAAGUGGUUCCUUCGAGUCAGUUAGGCUUACUAUUAGAUAACAAUUCUGCAAGAAUUGCUGUUGGUCUUCGUUUGGGUAGCCAAUUAUGCGAAGAACAUAAAUGUAUUUGUGGAAAGAA